GUGGGGAAUCUUGCGCAAUGGGCGAAAGCCUGACGCAGCCAUGCCGCGUGGAUGAUGAAGGUCUUAGGAUUGUAAAAUCCUUUCACCGGUGAAGAUAAUGACUGUAGCCGGAGAAGAAGCCCCGGCUAACUUCGUGCCAGCAGCCGCGGUAAUACGAAGGGGGCUAGCGUUGCUCGGAUUUACUGGGCGUAAAGGGCGCGUAGGCGGACAUUUAAGUCAGGGGUGAAAUCCCGGGGCUCAACCUCGGAACUGCCUUUGAUACUGGGUGUCUUGAGUAUGAGAGAGGUGUGUGGAACUCCGAGUGUAGAGGUGAAAUUCGUAGAUAUUCGGAAGAACACCAGUGACGAAGGCGACACACUGGCUCAUUACUGACGCUGAGGCGCGAAAGCGUGGGGAGCAAACAGGAUUAGAAACCCCUGUAGUCC
RNAcentral lists this ribosomal RNA (425 nucleotides) under uncultured bacterium. RNAcentral's name for it is "partial 16S ribosomal RNA". It matches the Rfam family "Bacterial small subunit ribosomal RNA", at positions 354 to 796 of the family's 1533-position model. The record is from RNAcentral.